UUUUUUUUUGUUUUGUUUUUUUUUUUUUUUUGGAAGGAGGAAGCGGCGACGGGUUACAGGCUGGAGGCUGUCUCUGUGCUCAGAUCCCACACAUGUCCCCAGCAAGCCCCAGCACCUGCCCUGCAGGAAGCGGGGUCUUGAACACUGCCCUGUGGGGGCGAUGUGGCCUCUGGGCUCUCUCAGCGGCAGGCAAGGCAGCGUCUUCUCGCACCCUCAUUUCCUUCCACUUGUCUCCAGGGCAAAAUACUACACAGUGGCACCCAGUGGCCGGCCCUGACUUUGAUCUUGGGAGCUUUCCUCUCCACCCAAGAGGAUCUGAGGUCAUUUCUGUAUCAGAAAAUCAGCAAGACCAGCAGCGGGACAGUGGGGACUGACGGCCUCUGUCAUUAGCAUCAUGGUGAGCACUUGAGCUGUGGUUUCCUCAGGAUGAAUCGGCCUUCCCCACAUGAACUCGUGGCAGGCAGAGAAUCUGGGUUGGGACCCUGGACUGCACCCCGUCCUGGGCUCCUGGCCUUUUCCCUCUCCGCCCUGCUAAGACCGCUGUGCCAAGCCCUGGGAUCGUCCAACAGGGAGAAAGUCCUUGGGACAAAAAUGACACGUUCUCAACAUCACCCACUGUUGAGGUCACAAGAAGCAGAGAAUACGAGAACGUUUCCAAAUGAAAGUGGGGGAAAGUUUGCAAAGAAGCAAGUUAGUUAGGGCUGUGCCCAUCCAGCACCAGCGCCAACACCAAGCCGUCUCUGCAGAGUAAACGGAAGCAGAUGUGGUGAGAUAAUACAUCCAACCCUGAGCACUACUCUAACCUGCCAGAGGCGGAGGGUUCUCAAUGAGAUGAAAGCAUUACAGAUGCGUUAGAUCUAAGGGAGGGGCCUACAGAGGCUCAGCUGGCAGAGAAACCAGGGAGGGGCUGAACUGUCAGUCGCAGCUACCAGGGAUCUGAAUUAGUUCACCAACAGCCUUGGGGACAUUCACCUUGGGCUCCACAACCUGUCAGAAAUGCCCCCAAGCCCGGAGGCGUCGAGGGAAUGGCCAGGUUAUUUCAGAUUGACACACAUCCUAGUGUAAAAGUCAGCCCACACACCCCACGUGCACUGAGCGUCUCUUGUUGUUCACCCCAAAUAAACUCUGCUGGAACUGGGGCGGGACUCGCAGGGGUGGAGAAGAGGGGAGACAGGCAGAGGGCAAAAGUGGGUGGUAAGAGGCGAUGGAGGGGUCCCACGACAGUGACGAGGCUGCACCCCUAACCAACGUCCUAGGGGUACUGUACAAAAGAGAACCACAGGCUGGGAGGCUGAACAACAGACCUGCACUCUCUCACAGCUCGGAGGCGGCAGGUCUGAAAUCAAGGGGCUGGCAGUGCUGGUUUCCUCUGGAGGCUGCAAGGGAGAAACCGUCCCCUGCCUCUCCCAGGCUCUGGGGUGAGCUCUUCCUUGCAUCCCGGGCUCGUUGUCGAUGGAUCACUCCAAUCUCCAUGGCUUCUCAGGGCUUCCCUCCAUGCACCUCAAAUCUCCCUCUCCUUCCUCUUGUAAGGAUGCCAGUCACUGGAUUUAGGUUCACUUUAAAUCCAGGAUGAUCUCAUCUAAAUUACAUCUGCAAAAAGACCCUAUUUCCAAAUAAGUUGACAUUCACAGGUACCUGGGGUUAGGACUUGGACGUAUCUUUUGCAGGGGGGACCGG
This 1677-nucleotide long non-coding RNA is filed under the name Macaca fascicularis (crab-eating macaque). RNAcentral describes it as "lncRNA (ENSMFAG00000048662.1)". The record is from RNAcentral. Lineage: Eukaryota; Metazoa; Chordata; Mammalia; Primates; Cercopithecidae.